UAAGGCUACCCUGUUGCUGUAUUGUGCAAGUACAUAGCCAUUGGGCUACAGAAAGAGUGAGACUGACUCUGUAUCCUAGUGUUAGGUUGCUCACCCAGAUGUGGAGACCCAAGUUUUGUUUCCAGUGACUGUCAGCUAUUCAUAUGCAAUGGAAUGGUUUCAACAGAAAGACUGAGAGAGCCCUGCUCCAAACGACCCACCGCAGUGAUUUAGGCGCUUCUCUAAAGAGAAGAGAGACCAGUUUUCAGAUCCCUUCUUUCACAUCGUAUGGCCAGGGGAGAGUUAAACCCAGUUCUCCCAUAUCCGAGCUCAGUGUGAAGUAUGCCCGGUUUUUACAAUAUACUUGGGCUCACUGCGGGUUGUGGUGCUGUAUGGACAGGAGGCUGUGAAGGAAGCUCUGAUUGAUCAAGCGGAUGAGUUCAGUGGAAGAGGAAACUGGCACUGGCUGACAAGGUUAUCAAAGGAGAAGGCAUUAUUUUCAGCAAUGGGGAGCGGUGGAAGCAGCUCUGCCGAU
This is a non-coding RNA of Chelonoidis abingdonii (Abingdon island giant tortoise), 514 nucleotides long. NCBI's taxonomy places the organism in Eukaryota, Metazoa, Chordata, Testudines, Testudinidae. The record is from RefSeq and is a predicted model, not a curated record.